Molecule: microRNA, 17 nt
Filed under: Corchorus olitorius
Lineage: Eukaryota; Viridiplantae; Streptophyta; Magnoliopsida; Malvales; Malvaceae
Description: hsa-miR-44
Source: RNAcentral
GGAUUGGGCUGGUGGCU